Molecule: ribosomal RNA, 468 nt
Filed under: uncultured bacterium
Lineage: Bacteria
Description: partial 16S ribosomal RNA
Rfam family: Bacterial small subunit ribosomal RNA
Source: RNAcentral
GACGAACGCUGGCGGCGUGCUUAACACAUGCAAGUCGAACGGAAAGGCCCUGCUUUUGUGGGGUGCUCGAGUGGCGAACGGGUGAGUAACACGUGAGUAACCUGCCCUUGACUUUGGGGUAACUUCAGGAAACUGGGGCUAAUACCGGAUAGGAUCUCCUGCUGCAUUGUGGGGGUUGGAACGUUUCGGCUGUUGGGGAUGGACUCGCGGCUUAUGAGCUUGUUGGUGGGGGAGUGGCUUACCAAGGCUUUGACGGGUAGCCGGCAUGGGAGGGUGACCGGCCACAUUGGGACUGCGAUACGGACCAGACUCCUACGGGAGGCAGCAGUGGGGAAUAUUGCACAAUGGGCGGGCGCCUGAUACAGCAACGCCGCGUGCGGGAUGACGGCCUUCGGGUUGUAAACCGCUUUCGCCUGUGACGAAGCGGGAGUGACGGUAAUGGGUGAAGAAGCACCGGCUAACUACGUG